This 90-nucleotide transfer RNA is filed under the name Victivallales bacterium. Its description in RNAcentral is "tRNA-Ser". It matches the Rfam family "tRNA". From Rfam's summary of the family: Transfer RNA (tRNA) molecules are approximately 80 nucleotides in length. Lineage: Bacteria; Pseudomonadati; Lentisphaerota; Lentisphaeria; Victivallales. The record is from RNAcentral.
GGAGAGGUGGCCGAGCGGCUGAAGGCGCAGCAUUGGAAAUGCUGUGUAGGGGAAACUCUACCGAGGGUUCAAAUCCCUCUCUCUCCGCCA